UCUAGAACUCGAGAUAUGAGCUGAACACUAAACAAUGUCUGGGUUGCAGGAUAUGUUUUAGGCCUAUCUCUUAGCUUUCUAGC
Non-coding RNA from Populus trichocarpa (black cottonwood), 83 nucleotides. The record is from Rfam. Lineage: Eukaryota; Viridiplantae; Streptophyta; Magnoliopsida; Malpighiales; Salicaceae.